UACGGAAGGGGCUAGCGGUGUUCGGAAUUACUGGGCGUAAAGAGCGCGUAGGCGGCUGAACAAGUUUGGGGUGAAAGCCCAGAGCUCAACUGCGGAACUGCCGUAAAUACUGGUAGUCUUGAGUCCGGAAGAGGAGCGUGGAAUUCCCAGUGUAGAGGUGAAAUUCGUAGAUAUUGGGAGGAACACCGGUGGCGAAGGCGGCUCCCUGGUCCGGUACUGACGCUGAGGAGCGAAAGCUAGGGGAGCAAACGGG
RNAcentral lists this ribosomal RNA (253 nucleotides) under uncultured bacterium. Its description in RNAcentral is "partial 16S ribosomal RNA". It matches the Rfam family "Bacterial small subunit ribosomal RNA", at positions 524 to 776 of the family's 1533-position model. The record is from RNAcentral.